Molecule: transfer RNA, 76 nt
Filed under: Candidatus Poribacteria bacterium
Lineage: Bacteria; Candidatus Poribacteria
Description: tRNA-Arg
Rfam family: tRNA
About the family: Transfer RNA (tRNA) molecules are approximately 80 nucleotides in length. Their secondary structure includes four short double-helical elements and three loops (D, anti-codon, and T loops).
Source: RNAcentral
GCGCCCGUAGCUCAGUGGAUAGAGCGCUUGACUACGGAUCAAGCUGUCGGGGGUUCAAAUCCUCUCGGGCGCUCCA